GUAGGGGGCAAGCGUUGUCCGGAUUUAUUGGGCGUAAAGAGCGUGUAGGCGGCUAGGUAGGUCCGUUGUGAAAACUCGAGGCUCAACCUCGAGACGCCGAUGGAAACCAUCUGGCUAGAGUCCGGAAGAGGAGAGUGGAAUUCCUGGUGUAGCGGUGAAAUGCGCAGAUAUCAGGAAGAACACCCGUGGCUAAGGCGGCUCUCUAGUACGGUACUGACGCUGAGACGCGAAAGCGUGGGGAGCGAACAGG
This 250-nucleotide ribosomal RNA is filed under the name uncultured bacterium. Its description in RNAcentral is "partial 16S ribosomal RNA". It matches the Rfam family "Bacterial small subunit ribosomal RNA", at positions 527 to 776 of the family's 1533-position model. The record is from RNAcentral.